GAUGAACGCUAGCUACAGGCUUAACACAUGCAAGUCGAGGGGUAACAAGAGAAAAGCUUGCUUUUCUUGUUGACGACCGGCGCACGGGUGAGUAACGCGUAUCCAACCUGCCUAUAACAAGGGAAUAACCUUGCGAAAGUAAGACUAAUACCCUAUGAUUUCCUUUGAUGACAUCAGAUUAGGAAUAAAGAUUUAUCGGUUAUAGAUGGGGAUGCGUCUGAUUAGCUUGUUGGCGGGGUAACGGCCCACCAAGGCAACGAUCAGUAGGGGUUCUGAGAGGAAGGUCCCCCACAUUGGAACUGAGACACGGUCCUAACUCCUACGGGAGGCAGCAGUGAGGAAUAUUGGUCAAUGGGCGGAAGCCUGAACCAGCCAAGCAGCGUGCAGGAUGACGGCCCUAUGGGUUGUAAACUGCUUUUAUACAGGAAUAAAGUUAGCCACGUGUGGUUAUUUGUAGGUACUGUAUGAAUAAGGACCGGCUAAUUCCGUGCCAGCCGCCGCCGUAA
RNAcentral lists this ribosomal RNA (506 nucleotides) under uncultured bacterium. RNAcentral's name for it is "partial 16S ribosomal RNA". It matches the Rfam family "Bacterial small subunit ribosomal RNA", at positions 28 to 523 of the family's 1533-position model. The record is from RNAcentral.